UCCCUCCAGUAAGGCAUGUUUAUUAAGGCUGAAAAGGAGAUGAGAGAGAAGUAUGAAAGUGUGUUAGCGGUUCUAAACUCAAGUUCAGGAGAUAAAUACCAGGCCUGGAUUACUAUGACCGAAUUAGGAGAACUUAAGUACUCUCCUGCUUUAAUUACAAUUGCUUGGGCCAAGCUGCUUGGAACCCAUACCAGGCAGAACCUGGAUUUG
Eurytemora carolleeae is the source of this 210-nucleotide long non-coding RNA. RefSeq lists it as uncharacterized. The transcript is spliced from 3 exons. The record is from RefSeq and is a predicted model, not a curated record. NCBI's taxonomy places the organism in Eukaryota, Metazoa, Arthropoda, Copepoda, Calanoida, Temoridae.